GCCCGGGCCUCUUUCGCUAAGGCGCGGCAAACUUGUGCUCCCCUGCGGCUUCCCCACAGCCCAGCACAGCCCCCACCACGGCUGUGUGCCUGUAGGGCUGCUGCUGAUCCUGAAUCCGUAUCAAAGGAAACCGGCCUACUCCAUCUUGGAGAAGAUCUUGUCUGGAGGUUUGAUUUGCAUUUCCUCCAGCAGCAUCUAGAACAGAAGGGAGACAGUACACCUCACCCUGGCGGUGCUGUGGAGGCAGUCUCUUUCCCCCUUGUAUUGUUGUCACUAGUCGGGGCAUUCAGGGGAGGGCAAGCUUGUUACCAGGAGGCACAGCAUGGCAACACCUGACCUCCAAUCAAAGUGUAAGAAAGUGAUCUGCACCAAUGGAUGGCAGAGAAGGAGUUGACUGACAAGACUUUGGGAUGCGCCAAGGAUAUAAAAGGCAGAGCAGCCAUUUUGUAGAU
Molecule: long non-coding RNA, 452 nt
Organism: Motacilla alba alba
Lineage: Eukaryota; Metazoa; Chordata; Aves; Passeriformes; Motacillidae
Exons: 3
Source: RefSeq, a predicted model, not a curated record